GACACAACAAUGGCUGGCCGUCCUCCAAAGUUCUUCACAUGCAUUUCCAAUGAAACAAACAAACAACCCCACCCACCUGCUGCAUUUCUCUCUUUCUUUCUCUAAACAAGCAACAACUCCUGCUUUUCUUUUGCUGAAGUUGAAGGAAACCAUUUUGCAAUCCCUCACGAUGUCGAUGUCGAUGUCGAUCUGGCAGUGGCUCCCAAAAGAGAUUAUCACCGAAAUCCUCUCAUGGCUGCCGGUGAAGUCGCUCAUCAGAUUCAGGUGUGUUUCAAAGGCAUGGUGCUCUCUAAUCUCCACCUCCCGCUUCAUCGCGACCCACCUUAAUCACUCUCUUUCCAACUCCCAAUACCAGACCUCCAUUUUCGCCUGCCAUAACUACACCUUUCAUACCCUCCUGCUGUAUCCAUCAUAUCAAGAAAUAGAACAGAAGGGUGAUUUCUUUGCAAACCCAUCAGAUCUUAUAGAAUUGCAUGACCCAUUUAACCAUAAAUAUUCCUUACACUUGGUUGGUUCAUCUAACGGCCUGCUAUGUCUUGCCAAUAUGACUUUCAAUAACGAAAGUGGGUUAUGUGUUCUCUGGAACCCUUCUAUUCAAAAAGCCAUCUCCCUUCCCAAGCCUAAUCUUGGAUCGUUACAACAAACUUUUGGCUUUGGGUAUGAGCCCUUGACCGAUGAUUACAAAUUGGUGAGACUCAUGAAUCCCCAUGAUUGCAAAACUGUUCCACCUCUGUUUGAGAUUUAUACGCUUCGAACUGGCAUAUGGCGCUUUAUUACGGCCCCCGAUUCUCGCUACACGAUGAAGUAUUGGUCCUCAUCGGUUUUAGUGUGUGGGGCACUCCACUGGUCCACACACACUCCACGGCAUCAAGGUGCCUUUUGCAAUGUGAUCAUGUCGUUUAAUAUGAAGGAUGAGGCCUUUGGUGAAGUGGGUAUGCCUAAGAGCUUACAAGGGUUAGAAGGCUUGGACGUUACUGUGGCGCUAAUUGAUGGGUUGCUUGCACUUGUCCCUUGUACCGGAUUUGGCAUCGAGGCGUCUCAUGCCGUGUGGGUGAUGAAAGAGUAUGGAGUAGUGGAAUCUUGGACAAAGCUGUAUGAUGUUCGCAUUGAGGGAUUUCAGAGGGUGAUAGGCUUUCCAAAGAGUGAUGAAGUUCUGGUGCACGAUGCUGACAGGUUCUUUUCUUGCGGACCUAGUAGCCGAGGAUAUUUGGAAGAUCUUCCCCUUUGUGGCCUAGAGCAUAUUUAUUUGGAUGCUUAUGUGGAGAGCCUUAUUCUACUGAAUGUAGCGGACCUAGUUCCGGGGAGACAGGGGAAUUCGUCUGGUGGUAGUUAGGGAAUUGGUCUGGAGGCAGUUAGCUCGCAAAGAAAUGCAGGUAAAGGUAAGAAAUGAAUUGAGGGAAAAGAAGAUUUGGUGAAAUUGUUUUACACCACCUUGGAUGGAGUCGGUCGAUGAAGUACAAAGAAGAAAUCUCUGUUUUGUUUUCUUGGAUUGCUUUGUUGUUUUUGUUGCUUUACUUUCUUGCAAGAUUUGAAAGAGUAAAAAGGGUACUACAAGGAAGAAUUCUAAAAGGUUUUCAGUGUUGGCUUUCUUUGCACUUUCAAAAUAGAAGGUAUCUAAUGCUCUAAGUUGUU
This is a non-coding RNA of Corylus avellana, 1632 nucleotides long. The record is from RefSeq and is a predicted model, not a curated record. Lineage: Eukaryota; Viridiplantae; Streptophyta; Magnoliopsida; Fagales; Betulaceae.